CCUACGGGAGGCAGCAGUGGGGAAUAUUGGACAAUGGGGGGAACCCUGAUCCAGCGACGCCGCGUGAGUGAAGAAGUCUUUCGGUAUGUAAAGCUCUAUCAGCAGGGAAGAAAGAAAUGACGUUACCUGACUAAGAAGCCCCGCCUACCUACGUGCCAGCAGCCGCGGUAAUACGUAGGGGGCAAGCGUUAUCCGGAUUUACUGGGUGUAAAGGGAGCGUAGACGGCGAUGCAAGUCUGAAGUGAAAGGCUGGGGCUCAACCCCUGGACUGCUUUGGAAACUGUAUGGCUGGAGUGCAGGAGAGGUAAAUGGAAUUCCUAGUGUAGCGGUGAAAUGCGUAGAUAUUAGGAGGAACACCAGUGGCGAAGGCGGCUUGCUGGACUGUAACUGACGUUGAGGCUCGAAAGCGUGGGGAGCAAACAGGAUUAGAUACCCUUGUAGUC
RNAcentral lists this ribosomal RNA (443 nucleotides) under uncultured bacterium. Its description in RNAcentral is "partial 16S ribosomal RNA". It matches the Rfam family "Bacterial small subunit ribosomal RNA", at positions 338 to 795 of the family's 1533-position model. The record is from RNAcentral.